This 111-nucleotide ribosomal RNA is filed under the name Pelotomaculum sp. PtaU1.Bin035. The record is from RNAcentral. Lineage: Bacteria; Bacillati; Bacillota; Clostridia; Eubacteriales; Desulfotomaculaceae.
UGGUGACAAUAUCGGAGGGGGCACACCCGUUCCCAUCCCGAACACGGCAGUUAAGCCCUCCUGAGCCGAUGGUACUUGGGGUCUGGCCCCUGGGAGAGUAGGACGUUGCCA